Molecule: ribosomal RNA, 479 nt
Filed under: uncultured bacterium
Lineage: Bacteria
Description: partial 16S ribosomal RNA
Rfam family: Bacterial small subunit ribosomal RNA
Source: RNAcentral
GACGAACGCUGGCGGCGUGCCUAACACAUGCAAGUCGAGCGAAUGAAGUUCCUUCGGGAACGAAUUUAGCGGCGGACGGGUGAGUAACACGUGGCAACCUGCCUCAUAGAGGGGAAUAGCCUUCCGAAAGGGAGAUUAAUACCGCAUAAGAUUGUAGUACCGCAUGGUACAGCAAUUAAAGGAGUAAUCCGCUAUGAGAUGGGCCCGCGGCGCAUUAGCUAGUUGGUGAGGUAACGGCUCACCAAGGCGACGAUGCGUAGCCGACCUGAGAGGGUGAUCGGCCACAUUGGGACUGAGACACGGCCCAGACUCCUACGGGAGGCAGCAGUGGGGAAUAUUGCACAAUGGGGGAAACCCUGAUGCAGCAACGCCGCGUGAGUGAUGACGGCCUUCGGGUUGUAAAGCUCUGUCUUCAGGGACGAUAAUGACGGUACCUGAGGAGGAAGCCACGGCUAACUACGUGCCAGCCGCCGCGGUAA